Caenorhabditis elegans is the source of this 21-nucleotide non-coding RNA. The record is from Ensembl. NCBI's taxonomy places the organism in Eukaryota, Metazoa, Nematoda, Chromadorea, Rhabditida, Rhabditidae.
UUGUUGAAACGGUAUGAAAUU